AGUGAACGCUGGCGGUAGGCCUAACACAUGCAAGUCGAACGGCAGCACAGUAAGAGCUUGCUCUUACGGGUGGCGAGUGGCGGACGGGUGAGGAAUACAUCGGAAUCUACUUUUUCGUGGGGGAUAACGUAGGGAAACUUACGCUAAUACCGCAUACGACCUACGGGUGAAAGCAGGGGAUCUUCGGACCUUGCGCGAUUGAAUGAGCCGAUGUCGGAUUAGCUGGUUGGCGGGGUAAAGGCCAACCAAGGCGACGAUCCGUAGCUGGUCUGAGAGGAUGAUCAGCCACACUGGAACUGAGACACGGUCCAGACUCCUACGGGAGGCAGCAGUGGGGAAUAUUGGACAAUGGGCGCAAGCCUGAUCCAGCCAUACCGCGUGGGUGAAGAAGGCCUUCGGGUUGUAAAGCCCUUUUGUUCGGAAAGAAAAGCAGCAGGUUAAUACCCCGCUGUUCUGACGGUACCCAAAGAAUAAGCACCGGCUAACUUCGUG
RNAcentral lists this ribosomal RNA (492 nucleotides) under uncultured bacterium. RNAcentral's name for it is "partial 16S ribosomal RNA". It matches the Rfam family "Bacterial small subunit ribosomal RNA", at positions 29 to 507 of the family's 1533-position model. The record is from RNAcentral.